UACGUAGGUGGCGAGCGUUAUCCGGAAUGAUUGGGCGUAAAGGGUGCGUAGGUGGCAGAUCAAGUCUGGAGUAAAAGGUAUGGGCUCAACCCGUACUGGCUCUGGAAACUGAUCAGCUAGAGAACAGAAGAGGACGGCGGAACUCCAUGUGUAGCGGUAAAAUGCGUAGAUAUAUGGAAGAACACCGGUGGCGAAGGCGGCUGUCUGGUCUGGAUUCUGACACUGAAGCACGAAAGCGUGGGGAGCAAAUAGG
RNAcentral lists this ribosomal RNA (253 nucleotides) under Holdemanella biformis DSM 3989. Its description in RNAcentral is "partial 16S ribosomal RNA". It matches the Rfam family "Bacterial small subunit ribosomal RNA", at positions 524 to 776 of the family's 1533-position model. The record is from RNAcentral. Lineage: Bacteria; Bacillati; Bacillota; Erysipelotrichia; Erysipelotrichales; Erysipelotrichaceae.